This 381-nucleotide ribosomal RNA is filed under the name uncultured eukaryote. Its description in RNAcentral is "SSU rRNA". It matches the Rfam family "Eukaryotic small subunit ribosomal RNA", at positions 587 to 972 of the family's 1831-position model. The record is from RNAcentral.
AGCUCCAAUAGCGUAUAUUAAAGUUGUUGCAGUUAAAAAGCUCGUAGUUGGAUCUCAGGUCCAGGCUUGCGGUCCGCUCCUUGGUGGUUACUGCUCGUCCUGACCUACCACCCGGUUGGCCCUUGGUGCUCUUGACUGAGUGUCUCGGGAAGCUGGAACGUUUACUUUGAAAAAAUUAGAGUGUUCAAAGCAGGCGGUUAGCCUGAAUAAUGGUGCAUGGAAUAAUGGAAUAGGACCUCGGUUCUAUUUUGUUGGUUUUCGGAAUUGGAGGUAAUGAUUAAGAGGGACGGACGGGGGCAUUCGUAUUACGGUGUUAGAGGUGAAAUUCUUGGAUCGCCGUAAGACGAACUACUGCGAAAGCAUUUGCCAAGAAUGUUUUCA